Neofelis nebulosa (Clouded leopard) is the source of this 2282-nucleotide long non-coding RNA. RefSeq lists it as uncharacterized. The transcript is spliced from 5 exons. NCBI's taxonomy places the organism in Eukaryota, Metazoa, Chordata, Mammalia, Carnivora, Felidae. The record is from RefSeq and is a predicted model, not a curated record.
CCAUGGAAACCAGUAGGUGCCUGCUGCUCCUGAUUCUGUUUUCAGAGCAGAAGGCUAACCACAGGACAUUCCAGCUGUGACUCAUUGCCACUACUGGCAAGCAUUCUGGCUUGGUCCCGCGAAGGAAAUCAUCCCCGGCAGACCAGAUGGGAAAGCAGUGAAUCAAUGAAUCACUUGUGAAGAGAUGGACGGCCAACAUGAAUCGCUUGCAGCGUGUUGCUAUGACAACCUGCUUCUGUGUGGACACUGAGGCCAUUCCCAAGUGCGGGGUGCGUGGCCCAGAGCAAACCAUACCGUGGGGGACAGCGUAAGCCUGAGCUUCGAGUGAAGUAAGCGGACUAAAAUGUUGGCUGUAUCAUUUAUCCUUUGUGAGAAGUGCCAAAUGCAUCAGUGACGCCAGCUGCAGACAGAAAGCAAGAGGAAACUCAAGUGUCUUAAGAGAUGAACCAUUAAUUAUAUCUCAGCCUUGUCUUCGCCUGGACCAGCCCCAGUCCCAUCCAAUCAUUGGUCCACUUCUGCUGAUUUUACCUCCUCGGUGCUCUCAAAUCCUUCUAUUACAUUCUCCCUCCUCAGCCUGCAAGGAACUGGUGCCCUCUCUCUCUCGCCUGGGCUGCAGCCACCCCCUCACUGGAUGUCCACAGUUACUUUCACCUCCCUUCCAUUUUCCCUUAAAGCCAGAGUCUUUAAAGGCGCCAGUCUGAGCAGACCAUUUCAGGCUCACACUCCUGAAAGACCUCUUGCUGCUCCAGGGGAGGUCCCUGAAACUCCUCAUGCCCCCUCAGUGCUGGGCUAUGCUCACUCGCUCUCUGGCUCGCAGGGUCCCAUCCACCCAGAAGCCCCACACUCAGCCUCAGCCACACUGGACUUCCUUCAGUUCUGACAAGGAUUUUCUCCUGGGCUCGACUCUAGCCAGGCCUCUCUGAACCUUCUUCCUGACUAAGCCUCAACCUUGGCCUACAAAAAAUGAGGACUCUGGGCACACGUGCUUUCAUCCACUCACGCCCCCCAUAUUAAAAGACUUAAACACUAACAUGGUUUCUAACAGCUCAAGGUCACAUCCCCAGGAUGACCCCUGCCCCGCUUAAAGUGCCUGCCUGAGAAAAGCUCAAGGCAACCAGAAGAACUGACGGUUUGUUCCAGCCAACACCUGAGGCUGGGCCCCUGACCACCCUUUCAUAGAACACUUACUAAAAAGGGCUUAUAGGUGUGAAUCCUUCCUCUGUCCCUUUGAGAUGUAUGUGUGCCUCCUAGGACUCAGGAGUACUUUCUCAAGGAUCUGAGAGCCAUGCCUUUGAAAUGUAAUCUUCAGGAAGGAUGGGACCCUGGCUCCCAGUCCAUGUGGGAGGGCAGAAUCCUAAUUCCCAUGGCUGCAGCCAACAGCAUGCUGCAGCUGGCCUGGCCACACUGACACGGACUAACCUUUUGUCAUUUCUCACUUCCCUGAGUGUUCGGGCUGCUGCCCCCUCCCAACUCCCUCAUUCUCCCUUUAAAACGUCCAGUCACCUCCCUACAAAGCGAAGGGAGUGCGGUUCGUGCUGGAUCCCACUGUAGGAGCACAUGAAGGAUUAAACUCUACCUUUGCCACUCGAACUCGCAGCUGCGUUAGCUCUGACAGUUCCUCCAACACAACUUCUCUUUGAACUUGAAUGCACAAGAUCUUACCGCGUGAAGAAAAUAAAAGGAUGGCUACUCCAGGUAAAUGGAGUGAGACAACCAUGCCAUUAUUAAGCCUGUGAAGACCAUCUGAACACUAGAUGAAGAAAGAUGACUUUAAAACCAUUGUCAAGUUCAUGUUUAAAAUAUUAAAAGCUCAUUACAGUCCUACCAUACCUCUCUGAGCUGAAUGCUACCAGCCACACCAUCCACAGUUCAUCCAGAGCAUUUCAAGAGCUAAUCAGGACAUGAUAAGACAAAUGGAUUAGAUGUUGGAACUGGAUUCUUUUGGUUUGGCUUCUAAACCCACUUGCUGUAUAUUCUUGAGAGGACUUCACUUUCUCUCAUUUAAAAAUAAGAAAUUAAAGUGGAUUUGUGUUUGGAAUUUUCAGACACACCAUAGAAAAAAAAAUACAUUUACAUUGGAGGCCCUGGAUGGCUCAGUCUGCUAAGCAUCUGACUCUUGACUUUGACUCAGAUCAUGAUCUCACAGUUUGUUAGUUCAAGCCCUGCAUGGGUUCUGCACUGACAGUGGGGAGCCUGCUCAGGAUUCUCUCUUUCUUCUCCUCUCUCUGCCCCUCUCCUGCUCAGUCACUCUCUCUCUUUCUCAAAAUAAAUAAAUAAACCUA